RNAcentral lists this long non-coding RNA (1358 nucleotides) under Medicago truncatula (barrel medic). RNAcentral's name for it is "long non-coding RNA (MTRU_LNC005688)". The record is from RNAcentral. Lineage: Eukaryota; Viridiplantae; Streptophyta; Magnoliopsida; Fabales; Fabaceae.
UUCAAUUACAGGAAAGAAUAUCAUAUCAUGUUACACUUAAAAUCAUAACGGCCUCUGAAAUGCUCGAAGAGCAAAUUAAAAUCAUAUCUCUAAACAAACUUUGUUUAAAUACAACUUUAUUUUGAAUUAUAUUAAAAUACAACUUAGUUUUAUAUUUUCAAUAUUUAGGGUCCUCUAAUAUGGACCAAGUAAAAAGGACCACUAGUGAAUCCUUGAAAUGACAUAUUAUAGCAAAUUAAUUUUUUUUGUUUAUUGUGAAAUUAACAUAAAUGCAAAUGGGAGGGGUUAAAAUUUACAAAGUAUAUUUUGUGGCUUUACUCAAACUACGUUUUCAAAUUGUACAACAGUGCCUUUUUUUUAUAAUUUCUUUUUCAAAAGCUUUUUGAAUUAAAAUAAUUAAAAAAGAAACUACCAUUUCAAUUGUUGUUACCAUUGCACUACAAUGGUUAAACUAUAUGAAUAUGAUUGAUGCAUAUAAUUUAUUUUAUCUCUUUUUAACUUUUUCUUUUACACAUUUUAUUUACCAAUGAACCCCAACCACGAUAAUUUUUGGUCCAAUUUUAUGUAAAAUUAUGACAAUUUUCUAUGUAUCACAAGUCAACAAAAUGUCUCAUCUUUUAAUUAAAAAUGCAUCCAAUAACCCAAUUCUCAAAUUUUCAAAUUAUAUUUCUAUCUCACACUUUGAAAAUUACUCAUAUCAAUACCAACAAUUUUCAACUCAAUCAAAUAAUCCUAAUAUGCCUUAUGGGGUUCAAUUGGAUAGUAGUGGUGUACAAUUAAAUGAUCAAGAGCUUGCAACAUCAUAAUUUUGCACUCAAAGUGACUUAGAAACUAGUAUUAUCCUGGUGAAGAAGUCAGAACUACAUCGGUUAUGAAUAUGUCGAAAAUAAAAUUUCAAUAAAAAAAAGAUAAACUUCUCAUUUAAUCAUGACUCAAUAUUUUAAAGGAUCAAUUGUAAGGAUUGAUAAAAAAAGAAGAUAGUUUUUGAAAGAGAAUUGAUUAAAAUUAUAACAACCACUCUCUCAAAAAAAAAAUUAUAACGACCAUCGCCUCAAGAAUAUAUAUAUAUAUAUAUUUCUUAUAACUUACUUGUGUCGUGUAGUUUUCUUAUAAUGAGGAUACACUAUUUUAGCCAGCAAACCUUCAGCAACUAUAGAGUAUAGACAUCGUAAAUGGUCUACACAUAUAGGAAUAUGCUUCAUAUAUUCAUAGCCACGACAUUCCUACUUCAUUGGUUCCUUGUUUGGCCAACAUUCUGGUUCCUAUUAUCUUCUAACCAAUGGUGAGUUUAUGCAUUAAUAGAAUAAGCUAAUAACAAAAGGUUUGCUUCAAUUUGUAUACAAAAAGUUCCACUUAAC